Molecule: long non-coding RNA, 844 nt
Organism: Musca domestica (house fly)
Lineage: Eukaryota; Metazoa; Arthropoda; Insecta; Diptera; Muscidae
Exons: 3
Source: RefSeq, a predicted model, not a curated record
GCUCGAAUGAAAAUAGACUGGAAUUCAAAUAUUUAGUUUUAAAACGAGUUUUAAAGCGAACGGUUGUUUGUGGCGGACGGUUGUAAAAUAUUUUUUGUUGUUUUCCUGUAAUUUUACGUUUGAAACUUUGCUCCAGCCAGCGAUAUUGCGGGAUUAAAUAGUUGAAUAAAAAAAAGAAAAAUUGAAAAAAAAAAAAAAAUAAAAGAAAAAACAAAACGAAAAAAAAAAGAAAUGCGAAAUUUAAUGAAUGUAAAUUAAGAAGAGAAAAAAAAAGAAAGAAUUAACGAAGUGCGAAGUAAAUAAUAACAGAAAUUAAAGCCAAACAAGUUAUUGCACAAAUCAGCAGUUUUUUUUUCUGCUGGAGGUGGUGAAGAAAAAGUUAAAAAAAAAUUAAAAAUUGAAAUAUUUGCAGUGAGAAAAAUUAAUAUUUGUUAGUAAAACGAAACAAAUAAAAAUAAUGAAAUUUCUUUUUUAAUAAAAAGAAAUUUUGAGAUUUAUAAAGUGAAAAAAAAUUAGAAGGAAAGGAGAGAAGAGAAGAAAAGCAACAAACGUAAUUAAAGAUUGCACAAAAGGAUAUUAUUUAACUAGAUUUUUAUUAUAAGAAACGAACGUGUUACUAGAGACGCAGAAGAUAUAAAUCGUUAACUGGUUUUUAAACGGUAAGUGGCAAAUUAGAACCUUGGGGAAAAAUUUUUUGAAAAGACCUAGACUUUUCAGCCCUGCUCAUUUUUGCUUGGAUGUGGAAAAAUUUUAUAUUUUUGAAGAGGCGGAAAUACUACCAUGUAUUCUCGGAUUAGUUUUCAAUAUUUUAACUCAUAUUGAAGAAAAAUAUAUUUUUUUCACU